This 477-nucleotide ribosomal RNA is filed under the name uncultured organism. RNAcentral's name for it is "partial 16S ribosomal RNA". It matches the Rfam family "Bacterial small subunit ribosomal RNA", at positions 329 to 797 of the family's 1533-position model. The record is from RNAcentral.
ACGUACACUCCUACGGGAGGCAGCAGUGGGGAAUAUUGCACAAUGGGCGCAAGCCUGAUGCAGCCAUGCCGCGUGUAUGAAGAAGGCCUUCGGGUUGUAAAGUACUUUCAGCGGGGAGGAAGGCGAUAAGGUUAAUAACCUUGUUGAUUGACGUUACCCGCAGAAGAAGCACCGGCUAACUCCGUGCCAGCAGCCGCGGUAAUACGGAGGGUGCAAGCGUUAAUCGGAAUUACUGGGCGUAAAGCGCACGCAGGCGGUCUGUCAAGUCGGAUGUGAAAUCCCCGGGCUCAACCUGGGAACUGCAUUCGAAACUGGCAGGCUAGAGUGUUGUAGAGGGGGGUAGAAUUCCAGGUGUAGCGGUGAAAUGCGUAGAGAUCUGGAGGAAUACCGGUGGCGAAGGCGGCCCCCUGGACAAAGACUGACGCUCAGGUGCGAAAGCGUGGGGAGCAAACAGGAUUAGAAACCCUGGUAGUCCCA